AACGAACGCUGGCGGCAUGCCUAACACAUGCAAGUCGAACGAGACCUUCGGGUCUAGUGGCGCACGGGUGCGUAACGCGUGGGAACCUGCCCUUAGGUUCGGAAUAACUCCCCGAAAGGGGUGCUAAUACCGGAUAAUGUCUUCGGACCAAAGAUUUAUCGCCUUUGGAUGGGCCCGCGUUGGAUUAGCUAGUUGGUAGGGUAAAAGCUUACCAAGGCGACGAUCCAUAGCUGGUCUGAGAGGAUGAUCAGCCACACUGGGACUGAGACACGGCCCAGACUCCGACGGGAGGCAGCAGUGGGGAAUAUUGGACAAUGGGCGAAAGCCUGAUCCAGCAAUGCCGCGUGAGUGAUGAAGGCCUUAGGGUUGUAAAGCUCUUUUACCCGGGAUGAUAAUGACAGUACCGGGAGAAUAAGCGCCGGCUAACUCCGUG
Molecule: ribosomal RNA, 433 nt
Filed under: uncultured bacterium
Lineage: Bacteria
Description: partial 16S ribosomal RNA
Rfam family: Bacterial small subunit ribosomal RNA
Source: RNAcentral